Molecule: long non-coding RNA, 2484 nt
Organism: Lycium barbarum (goji berry)
Lineage: Eukaryota; Viridiplantae; Streptophyta; Magnoliopsida; Solanales; Solanaceae
Exons: 2
Source: RefSeq, a predicted model, not a curated record
AACUUUCCUUUUCCCUACUUUUAUUUUAGUCCCAUGAGUGAAUGCAUAAAUAAUUGAAGGUUGGUGUCGCUCGCCUAAUUUUUUUUUAGGCGUUUGUUACAAUACUUGAUGUUGCCAUUGUAUUUAAUAUAAAUCAUGUACGUGUAAAGAGCUACUGGAAACAUAAAGUAAAGUACUUAAGAGAAAUAUGGAUUCGACUUAUCGAAUGUAUGAAUAAUUAUUUCCUCAUCUAAUUUUCCGCUUUUGUAUCUAUUAUAACAUGUGUGUUGCCAUUUUCACCAUAUAAAAGGCGAAAGGAACCAGAUCGCUAAUAGAAGUCAUAAGAGUGAAGUUAGAUUGAAUGAGUAAUUAGGGGAUUGCUUUGGCUGUUUGUUUCAAAUGUUUCUUUAUCCAUAUUUUAGAGGCUGUUUUGCUCUAAUCUUUGUGAAAAACUAGUAUAAAAAAAAAAUGCAAUCAGUGAUGGCUUGCUAGUUGGUUUUAAAACACAGUCCAUACAUGUGGUUCUAGUGCCUGUUUGUUUGCUGUUUUUAGCAUGGUAUUCACCUUUGUUCCUUAUUUCGUUUCAGUUUAUAAAAUUAAAAUGUAGUCACUUGAAUAUUUUUAGAUUCCGUUCAAGUCUCUGUUACGUCUGUGUAGAAUAUGUAAUCUUGUCUCUGUUUCUUCUAAAAUCAAGGUGCCCACGGGCUAGUACGAAUCAUGAGUUUAUUUAACGAAAGAUAUCAUAUAUUUGGGUUUCAAAAUUAUUUUUCACUUGUAACUUGAAUUUGUAAUGUGUAUGAACUUCCCUAAUGAGUGAAAACUGGAAGAAAUUAGUUCGUAAUCUGCCCUAUGUUCUCAAGUUCUCUUUGCUUGAAAUUACUUUUUUUUUGGAGUAUUAAACAAGGAUUAGUUUAACAACCUUAUUUUUCUAUAAUUAGUGCUUGAUCUCUACCAAAUUCAUGUCAUGAUAUUUAAAAAGGAAGUAUGUAUCGAAAGAAUUUGUCUCAUUUGAAAGCUCCUCCUAAGAAACCUCUCAUGUAUAAAUAUUCGUAAAAUAUCCAAGUUCAAGUCUAGUUUGCCUUUUCUUUCAGUAGCUUCUCUGAAUAAAAUCCUUACUUCUAGUAUUGUUUUGCCGGCUGAAAGUCAAGGUAAACCUUGGGUUUUGGUUUAGCCUCCUCCGAUAGUCUGCAAUGCCUAAGGCUCUAGAAAUCUUUUUGACCUUGUGCGGUAUCAAAAACUCGGAAGGUGGUAACCCCCCUUUGUUGCCUGAAUCAUUGAGCUUGAUGUUUAUUAUUUGUAGUCAGCCUUAAGGCCCAUUAAAUUUUAAAAGCAUGUUUGGUUAGUUGGUAUUUCUUUUACUUUCUGGAAAAUUAUUCCAAAUGAUCGACUUCUCUCUUAAGCCAAGUUAUUUCCGAGAUUCUUAAUAGUAAGUGACUAUGUCUUUACAAUUUGUGAAAUCAAGAUACGUUGAUUUUAUUUUGAAACUGUCUUGUAUGUUCUUUCGCAAUAUGUCAAUAUGUCUUUCAAAAUUUUGACAAAAUCAAGUCAAUAUUUCAAAACGUCAAAACACUUUGUACUUCACUUGUUGUUAUCUUGUUAAAAAUAUGUACUCCCAGAUUCUUAUUCUUCACCCCUUUCUUAUCUUGGCAUGACUUGUGGGGAGCUUCAAACCUCCAAUCUUUGCUGCACUUCGAGGCUACAGUUUUGAACUAAUGAUCUCCGAGGAAUUAGAGGCAGGCGUUGCUUUUUGUAGUUGCUGCCAUUUUUUAGGCCAUUUGCUGCUAUGUUUUAGGGCAAGAGCUACUGCAUUUUGGCCAUUCAAACCUCAUUUUGCUAAUGAAAUAUUACUUGCAUUUUUGGCUGAGUGAUCGCUGCACUUUAAGGAUGAAAAUGACAUGUUAUUGAGACUUGGGAGGAGCAAGUCGUGGAAAUGGAGUAAAAAGACGUUCAAAGAAAGAAAAAUAACUGAAACCUGACUUAUACGGAUAAACAUACGGACCGUAUAAUAUUUACAGUCCGUCAAAGCCAUCGUAGAUGCAUAACAGUAAGGCCUCAAACCUGAAGAGGAAAUCAAGGCAGAAGUACAGACCGUAUAUUAUUUACGAUCCGUAAAUCCCACUAUAGAUUGGUUCCAGCGAAGUCUCAAAGGGAAGAGGAUUGCACAGACAAGUUAUACGGGCCGUAUAAUAUUUACGGUCCAUAAAAGUGGAUCGUAUAUCUAGCAACUGAAAAAGAUUUUAUGGAGAAGUGCUCACUGACCGUAUAAAUUGUACGGUCCGUACAUUGGUCCGUCAGUGGAAAUUUUGUUAAUCAUAUUUUGCACGACUUAAACUCUUAUAAUUUACUUGAUUUAGGUUUCUUGUAAAGGGAUAUACACCAGAUUUCAGCUUUUAUUUUCUUUAGCAAUUUACUCAUAGUUUUGGAAGUCUUUUGGGGAUUACAAACAAUUGCAAAUUUAUUUAUCUUCAAUUCCAAGCAAUCAAUUCGUAAGCAUUAUGAUCUCAA